AUACAGAGGUCCCAAGCGUUGUUCGGAUUCACUGGGCGUAAAGGGUGCGUAGGUGGUGGUGUAAGUUUGAUGUGAAAUCUCCGGGCUUAACCCGGAAACUGCAUUGAAUACUAUAUUGCUUGAGGGUCGGAGGGGAGACUGGAAUUCUCGGUGUAGCAGUGAAAUGCGUAGAUAUCGAGAGGAACACCAGUGGCGAAAGCGAGUCUCUGGACGACACCUGACACUGAGGCACGAAAGCUAGGGGAUCAAACAGGAUUAGAUACCCUGGUAGUCCUAGCUGUAAACGGUGCACAUUUGCUGUAAGAGGAUUCGACCCCUUUUGUGGCGAAGCUAACGCGUUAAAUGUGCCGCCUGGGAAGUACGGUCGCAAGAUUAAA
This 377-nucleotide ribosomal RNA is filed under the name uncultured bacterium. Its description in RNAcentral is "bacterial SSU rRNA". It matches the Rfam family "Bacterial small subunit ribosomal RNA", at positions 523 to 898 of the family's 1533-position model. The record is from RNAcentral.